GGAGCCUGGCUCAGUAAGACCGACAUUACAAACGCCUUCAAAUUACUCCCUAUCCACCCCACACUGUGGCACCUGCAUGGCAUCAAGUGGUCCGGGAACUACUAUUUUUUUCUCCCGGUUAACUUUUGGGUCCAAAAGUAGCCCAGCUAUUUUCGACACAUUUGCCGAAGCAUUAUGCUGGUUACUAUUGAACAUAGCCGGAUGCCCUACAGUAUUACAUUACUUGGACGAUUUCCUACUGGUCGAGGAGAAUACUGCACCUCCCACUAGCCUCAAAGCUACCACUAAGCUGUUUGAGCAACUAGGUGUACCCAUCUCCCCAAAGAAAACAUUAUCACUUUUCUGGGUAUCCAAUUAGACUCUGCCACAAUGCAAGCAAGCCUACCAUACGAUAAGAUAGAAAAUAUUCUCACUUACAUAAACAACUACCUACAUCUCAGCACUUGCAACCACAAAGAACUACAGUCCCUGCUGGGGUCACUAAAUUUUGCAAUGCGCAUCAUACCUCAAGGCCGCUCCUUUAUUUCACGACUAUUGCAUCUUUUCCCACUUUUUCUACAUGACACGCACAGGUUGUCCUUAGAUGCCCAAGCUACGGCAGAUCUAAACAUGUGGAAGA
This is a non-coding RNA of Pelobates cultripes (western spadefoot toad), 619 nucleotides long. NCBI's taxonomy places the organism in Eukaryota, Metazoa, Chordata, Amphibia, Anura, Pelobatidae. The record is from the annotation of a GenBank genome assembly.